RNAcentral lists this long non-coding RNA (209 nucleotides) under Vitis vinifera (wine grape). RNAcentral's name for it is "long non-coding RNA (VVIN_LNC008019)". Lineage: Eukaryota; Viridiplantae; Streptophyta; Magnoliopsida; Vitales; Vitaceae. The record is from RNAcentral.
GUGAUGGUGAACUUAGUGAGUGGUGGUGUUCCGACGGAGAAGAGGUGGAAGAGGUGGACCUACCAUAUGUCACAUGUGUUGAAAUAUUUACUAAUAAAAAUCCUAGACUAUGUUACUAAUGUGAUAUGAGUUCAAUCAUUAUUUUUAGCUUAGAUUUAUGUUAGUGCUAAGUUUGAGAAUUAAUGCACCAUUUUUUUUUUAAUACAAAG